ACAAGAAUACCUGGAAGUCACAAGUCUGCUGUUCCUGCCACCAAAAAACCUUAUCGAAAUCCUGAACCAGCCAGAACAAACUUUCAAUCCUUUCCAAAUAGUCAGCAAGUGAUGUCAUCCAAGCUCCCUCAAUCUGCCAUCUACAAGGAUUCUUGACCUCAGAACGAUUCCUUGGGCAUCCCUAUGACGUUCCUACCGCUCAUCAUGGUACAAGGCUUUUGAAGCUAAGGCUCUUGCACACACAACAGAAAGAUAGGCUCAGGUUGCCUAUCAACAACACUCCCCAAAAUCCUCAAAAGGCCCAGGUUUAAGGUUUUCAAGUGUUGCUUCGUAUUUGCUGUGUCCUCAAUAUAUAUGGAAAUAGGUAAGCAGGUGAUGACAUCUAUCUUAUAGUAAUACGGUAAUUUUAGUGGAAAAUUACUUUAUGCUGAACUGUGUAUUUUGGGUAUGACACUCGAAUAUGUGUGUAUACAAGCAGAAGUCUUCCUCGUGACUAAAUUUUUUGAAAUAUGACCUUCACUUUGUUACUAUUAUUAUGUUUGAGAACAUGCUAGUAACAAUGUCAAGUUUAUUCAAUUCGAAAAACUUUAUUCUGUUGUAGAUCCUCGAAA
Long non-coding RNA from Theobroma cacao (cacao), 611 nucleotides. RefSeq lists it as uncharacterized. The record is from RefSeq and is a predicted model, not a curated record. NCBI's taxonomy places the organism in Eukaryota, Viridiplantae, Streptophyta, Magnoliopsida, Malvales, Malvaceae.